This 468-nucleotide ribosomal RNA is filed under the name uncultured bacterium. RNAcentral describes it as "partial 16S ribosomal RNA". It matches the Rfam family "Bacterial small subunit ribosomal RNA", at positions 28 to 507 of the family's 1533-position model. The record is from RNAcentral.
GAUGAACGCUGGCGGCGUGCUUAACACAUGCAAGUCGAACGGAAAGGCCAGUGCUUGCACUGGUACUCGAGUGGCGAACGGGUGAGUAACACGUGGGUGAUCUGCCCUGCACUUCGGGAUAAGCCUGGGAAACUGGGUCUAAUACCGGAUAGGACAAUGGUUUGGAUGCCGUUGGGGAAAGUUUUUUCGGUGUGGGAUGAGCUCGCGGCCUAUCAGCUUGUUGGUGGGGGAAUGGCCUACCAAGGCGUCGACGGGUAGCCGGCCUGAGAGGGUGUACGGCCACAUUGGGAAUGAGAUACGGCCCAGACUCCUACGGGGGGCAGCAGUGGGGGAUAUUGCACAAUGGGCGCAAGCCUGAUGCAGCGACGCCGCGUGGGGGAUGACGGCCUUCGGGUUGUAAACUCCUUUCGCUAGGGACGAAGCGUAUUUGUGACGGUACCUGGAGAAGAAGCACCGGCUAACUACGUG